UUGGGCGGCUGGAUGGUCGCGCCUGCGCGGGCGACCGUGCGGGCGAGGAAAGUCCGGGCUCCACGGAGACACGGCGCCGGGUAACGCCCGGCCGGGUUCGGGCCUUGGGAAACCAUGGGCCGGGUCUGAGGGAAAGCGCCACAGAAAACAGACCGCCGGUCGCGCAAGCGGCCGGCAAGGGUGAAACGGUGGAGUAAGAGCCCACCGCGCCCCCGGCGACGGGGGCGGCAUGGCAAGCCCCGCCGGGAGCAAGAUCGUAUAGGGACCGCAUAUCGGGCGUCUCCGCCCGGCGGUCCGGGUUGAUCGCGAGAACCCGUCGGCGACGGCGGGUCCAGAUGAAUGACCAUCCACGGGGUCGGGCGACCGGCCCCCGGACAGAACCCGGCUUACAGGCCGCCCAACUUC
This 405-nucleotide RNase P RNA is filed under the name Rhodobacterales bacterium CG_4_10_14_0_8_um_filter_70_9. RNAcentral describes it as "RNase P RNA component class A". It matches the Rfam family "Bacterial RNase P class A". Rfam says of the family: Ribonuclease P (RNase P) is a ubiquitous endoribonuclease, found in archaea, bacteria and eukarya as well as chloroplasts and mitochondria. The record is from RNAcentral. Lineage: Bacteria; Pseudomonadati; Pseudomonadota; Alphaproteobacteria; Rhodobacterales. RNAcentral also lists the same sequence under 1 other name.